CCUGACAAAUCCCUUUGCUGCCACUGACAUUUACUAACUAAAGAAGUUAUUGCCUCGGUUGCCAAGGGAACCGAGGCAUAUAUUUUUGCUCUGCUGCCACACAUUUAUUGACUUACUGCCACACUGUCACGCAUUCACUGACUGAAGAAGCUAUUGCCUCGGUUGCCUGAGGAACCGAGGCAUAUAAGCUGUAUUCCGCUUCGGUUGAGUGCCUAACCGAGGCCUAUAGUGUCAAAUAUUUUGAAUAAUGAAAGCAUCAGGCAUCAGGUUCACUAAGAAUCGAGGUAGUGGCUCUUUCUAGGGGUUUUAUAGUGCAAACAGUUUCUAUGCAAACAAUUUUCUUCUUCGUUUGUACUUUGCUCUCCACCACCAUUGCUUAGUCUCCAACACUGCUUGCGCCUCCCUCGUCGCGUCUCCACUGCCACGUUCGUCGCGCCUCCAUCACUGUGGUCGCCCCUCCUUUGUUGCGUCCGGUCACCACUGCUCGAGUUCUCCACCAUUGCUUGCGUUCUCCACCACUACCCGCGCCUCCCUUGCUGCGCCUCCACCACCACUCAUUCACUCAUUUCUUGUCGUGCCUCCACCGCCCUUGUUGUCGC
This 599-nucleotide long non-coding RNA is filed under the name Vigna radiata. RNAcentral's name for it is "long non-coding RNA (VRAD_LNC008015)". The record is from RNAcentral. Lineage: Eukaryota; Viridiplantae; Streptophyta; Magnoliopsida; Fabales; Fabaceae.